GGGGAUGUGGCUCCCUUGGUAGAGUGCUUGCCUAGCAUGCUUGAGGCUCUGGGUUCCACUCCCAGCACUGCCU
This 73-nucleotide transfer RNA is filed under the name Cricetulus griseus (Chinese hamster). It matches the Rfam family "tRNA". From Rfam's summary of the family: Transfer RNA (tRNA) molecules are approximately 80 nucleotides in length. Their secondary structure includes four short double-helical elements and three loops (D, anti-codon, and T loops). Lineage: Eukaryota; Metazoa; Chordata; Mammalia; Rodentia; Cricetidae. The record is from Rfam by way of RNAcentral.